RNAcentral lists this ribosomal RNA (619 nucleotides) under uncultured bacterium. Its description in RNAcentral is "bacterial SSU rRNA". It matches the Rfam family "Bacterial small subunit ribosomal RNA", at positions 8 to 614 of the family's 1533-position model. The record is from RNAcentral.
AGAGUUUGAUCCUGGCUCAGAUUGAACGCUGGCGGCAGGCCUAACACAUGCAAGUCGAGCGGCAGCGGGAAAGUAGCUUGCUACUUUUGCCGGCGAGCGGCGGACGGGUGAGUAAUGCCUGGGGAUCUGCCCAGUCGAGGGGGAUAACAGUUGGAAACGACUGCUAAUACCGCAUACGCCCUACGGGGGAAAGGAGGGGACCUUCGGGCCUUUCGCGAUUGGAUGAACCCAGGUGGGAUUAGCUAGUUGGUGGGGUAAUGGCUCACCAAGGCGACGAUCCCUAGCUGGUCUGAGAGGAUGAUCAGCCACACUGGAACUGAGCCACGGUCCAGACUCCUACGGGAGGCAGCAGUGGGGAAUAUUGCACAAUGGGGGAAACCCUGAUGCAGCCAUGCCGCGUGUGUGAAGAAGGCCUUCGGGUUGUAAAGCACUUUCAGCGAGGAGGAAAGGUUGGCGCCUAAUACGUGUCAACUGUGACGUUACUCGCAGAAGAAGCACCGGCUAACUCCGUGCCAGCAGCCGCGGUAAUACGGAGGGUGCAAGCGUUAAUCGGAAUUACUGGGCGUAAAGCGCACGCAGGCGGCUGGAUAAGUUAGAUGUGAAAGCCCCGGGCUCAACC